This 73-nucleotide transfer RNA is filed under the name Aspergillus leporis. It matches the Rfam family "tRNA". Rfam says of the family: Transfer RNA (tRNA) molecules are approximately 80 nucleotides in length. Lineage: Eukaryota; Fungi; Ascomycota; Eurotiomycetes; Eurotiales; Aspergillaceae. The record is from Rfam by way of RNAcentral. RNAcentral also lists the same sequence under 1 other name.
GGCCGAGUGGCGCAAUGGUAGCGCGCUGGUUUCCGGUACCAGAGGUUUGCGAGUUCGAGUCUCGUCUCGGUCG